AUACGGAGGGUGCAAGCGUUACUCGGAAUCACUGGGCGUAAAGCGCGCGCAGGCGGUCUUUUAAGUUGGAUGUGAAAGCCUACGGCUCAACCGUAGAACUGCAUCCAAAACUAUUAGACUAGAGUGUGGGAGAGGAAGAUGGAAUUAGUUGUGUAGGGGUAAAAUCCGUAGAGAUAACUAGGAAUACCAAAAGCGAAGGCAAUCUUCUGGAACACUACUGACGCUGAGGCGCGAAAGCGUGGGGAGCAAACGGGAUUAGAAACCCCUGUAGUCC
Molecule: ribosomal RNA, 274 nt
Filed under: uncultured bacterium
Lineage: Bacteria
Description: partial 16S ribosomal RNA
Rfam family: Bacterial small subunit ribosomal RNA
Source: RNAcentral